RNAcentral lists this unclassified non-coding RNA (3971 nucleotides) under Hevea brasiliensis (rubber tree). The record is from RNAcentral. Lineage: Eukaryota; Viridiplantae; Streptophyta; Magnoliopsida; Malpighiales; Euphorbiaceae.
UUUGGGAAAAAAGAACAUGUGGUAUUCUAUUUAUAAUGUACCUCUUUGAAUACAAUAAAAAUAAAAAAAGAUUCAACAGUACUCUAUACAAAUAAACAAAUCACACUGGAAUUUUCUCUGCAGAACACGUGUACAUAGAAAAUUCAAAAAAGUUACGUUUCUACUUCUAAUAUAUACUUCAGACACUCAGGGAAACUGUGAUCAAUCCUAUUUUACCUGUACUCAAAAUGAACAAGAAAGUCAAAAGAAAGAACAAUCUAUUCAAGUGCAAACUAGAGUAAUUAGAAUACCAUGAAUUUGGUUGGCAGGCAACGCAAAACACCACUUCAUGAGAAUAAUCUCUCAGUUACUCUACAUUUCUGGGAGGUAUGAGACAGAUGGUCCCCAACCAUAUAUCAGGUCACUCGGUGAGGAGUAACCCAUUAGCCUAUGAAGUGGUGACCCUCCUCCUCCCGCCGGCAGCUCUUCAAUUUCUGAGGAUACUUUAUUUGAUUUGGAUGUGCUAGAAGAAGGGCCUGCUGAUUCACAUGUUUGCACAGGAUUCUUACCUUUGUUUCGAGUCUCAUUCGAAGCAAACUUCCUUUUCUCUGUGCUAUGCUCAAGUGAACCACGUGAUACAUUUCUUUGAACUUCAUUGCUGUGGAUAGCAUGAACUGGUAUCUGGGAAACAAGAUCCUUGUCAGUGGAACAGCUUUUGCAGAAGGCAAGUCCACAAUCAUCAGAACAAGACACAGAAUCCGUAUAGGGACCACUGACAUGAGAUGUGGAAGUAAAGUUUCUCCGAUGAAUAGCAUCACUAUACUCGUCAACCUCACUUGGUGGAGGUGCUUCAGCACUUGUUGUAUAUGGGAUUAGAUGAGUUCUGCCUUGAAGUGAAAACUUAAGUACCUCUGAACAAGCACCACAUUUUAGCCGAUGGCACCUCCUUUUAAAGAGAAGAAAAUCUGCAGGCAGCAAUAGCUGAUUCGAGCAACAAUAACAAGUUAUGAAAGGGGCUCCACCUGCUACGGGUCUUAGGCGUCGCUUAGCCAAAUAAUGUUUCUCCCUCCAGUACCUCUCCACCUCAUGAUUUCUAAGCCUCUGGUCAGCAGACUUAGUUCCGCGACAAUAUAUGGGAAUCUCAGAUUCAACAUGCCGUUGAGGACUUGAGGGGCAAGAACCGUACGAAUUGUAAAGAUUAAGAUGAGAGUGUAUCCUACAAUACCCCUUAUUGCGACGAAAUCCAGGUGGAGGAAAUUGUGUUGUACGCUGCCACUCUUGGGGACAGCAACACAUGGAAUAAUCAACUUUGUGUCUACUGUUCGUUGCCUCUGCUGAGAAAGGUAUUUGAGAGUAUUUUUUCUGUUGAGACCAAUUAUCUCCCUCUCUAAUUCUUUCAGCAAAUCUAGGAUAAACUAAGUUACGGAGGCUUUCCUCUUGUAGGAGCUCACGGUCAUAGUAUGUGGGAAUAUAAUGAUCUUUCCAAGUGACUCCUCCGUUUGGUUUAUCAUUCCGAGAUGGAUUAUUAAGUUGAUACUGCAAUUCAUAAACCAUUCUCAACAGUUUCAUCUUCUCCUGCUCAGAGUACACAGGCUUGUCUUGUCCAGCAAAGCUUGAAUUAUAAUAUAACUCAUUGUAAUUGGAAGGACUGCCACUUUCAUAGCUAGCCAGGGAGUCCCUUCGACGGAAAGCGGGCUGAGACAGAUAUUCAUCUCUUGCUAAUCUUCUCCAGUUUCUACCUGGAUGGCCAAGUCUUGUGGGCUCCAACAAUUCAUCUCGAUCCAUCCUGCUGGAUUUUAUGGCAUAACGUGUCCUCUCUGGCAGAAAUGAUGCAGAAGUCCUGAAAUGAUGUUGUGUCUCAUUACUGUUGUUGAUUGGGAAUCUUUCCCUUCUGGGCCUCACAUCAGAAGCAGCAUAGUUCGCAAGCCUAUAAGCAUGUUUAGAUGAAUGUUUGUGUCGAUCAGGCAAUUGAUCAUCAGUUCCUUCAUAAGAAGAGACACCAUCAUCAUAAUAAGCACGAGAGCUUCUGGUUGUGGGGGAUUUCGACAAAUCUAUAAGAGUACCACUGAGCUCAGAGCUGGGGUUGACAAAAUCUUCGAUUUCAAAUGCAUCUAUAGACCUUACACAGGCAAAGCCGUGGUGAGCAAUUUCCUGAGGCUGUUCUACAUGAUCCUUAGGUGAAGAUAUAAGGAUAUCAGAUGAAAUACUCUCUCCUGCUGGCUGUUGGGCAGUGGCAAUUGAAGUACUUCCCUUUGUAUCAACCAGCUCCUCUUGCCUUGAUCUUCUGAAAACGGAGUCACUCUCAUUGUUAGCAUCUGCUUCUGCUUUUAGCUUAGCCUUUGCAGCUAAUGGCAAGCUUUCAUCAUUAAACUCAACUUCUGAAUUUGUUCUUGAUAAUGGAGAAUGAGACAGCAUUCCAUUACUGAGAUGAGAAGGUUCAUCUGAUGAACAAUCUUCAUUGGAAACUCCAUGCGGCUCAACAUUGCAAGCCAAAGAUUCAUUUUGAUGACUGUCAUUGUUGUGGUCCUCAUCUGAUAAAUUUACACCUCUGACUUGCUGAUAAUCACAAAUUGCAGAUUCAUUUUUAUCACUUCCACUUUUUUGGUCAGCAUUUGAUAAGUUUGCAUCUUUAAGCUGCUCAAUAUCAAAAUCCUCGGAUACAUUUUGAUCACUUGCAUUGUUUUCAUCUUCAUUUGUUAAAAAUGAGCCUGUGGGCUUGUCAUCAUUGCAAUUGCCAGAUUCAAUUUGACCCCUCCCAUUGCUUUCGUACGGGGAGCAUUCCCCUUCAGAAUGAAGAAUAGUUUCAUGACUUAAGCUGCUAUAUUCCUUAUCUUCAGAAACAAGAUCUAAUUUAUUCAACUUUGAAGCAUUAGUUUCAGGUAAUCCAGAUGCUGUGCUUUUGGCAUUUUCUUUUCGAACUUUUGCUUGGAGAUGUGCGCCACAUCCACCACACUCGUAGACAGGAAAAUCUGGCAACUCAGGAAGGAUGUUCCGACAUCUAGGACAUCUAACAAUUCGAAUCUUUGGACUCGUUCCACUUAUCAUUUUCCUCCAAAUAUAUAAAUGCAAUCACUUGACGUGUUGGCUUUUGCCUUUAAUUCUGAUAUGACCAACCACCAAAUAGGUUCAAACUUGAUUUGUGACCUUAUUGUAAGAGUAUAAAGCUAAACCAUCUACAAACAGAAAAACACAGAGGCACACGUUAAAUAGAUAUAUAUUGUGGGAGUAAAGCGAGCAAAACAAGUUCUAGAAAUGGUUUCACAACGGAAGAUGAGUUCUACAAUGUAGUUCAACGAGGCAAGUUGUGUAAUUUCAAUAAUUUCCAUGACAAUUAACUUCUCUAUGAUUUCCCUAAAAAAUAAAAUUCUAAACUGUUUUCAUUACAAUGCUUUCUUGGAAGUCUUUUUAAAUAAAGAACUAUUCUUAAGCAAUCAAGAUACAACACUAGAAUAAAACAAAAAAAUGAUAGAUGAAGUAGUUAAGGCUGCUGCUAUUUUUUACCGGAUGCUGCUCACAUACGACUAGAUUAUACGAUAAACAUUCCAUCAACACAAGAGAUCUUUGGAACCAGCAAAACCAAUCUAGUUUGGCAUGUUUGUCCAUCAAAAAGCAGAAAGAAAUGUCGAAUACGAAAUGUGCACAUACUGUAAUUUGAACCCAAUUAGAGCCAAAUCAACCAACAAAAAUAUUACAAUAAAGCAUAUUCGUUUGGCUGAAUAAAUAUUUAGAUAUCUUUUUGCAGUUUUUUGAAAUCAAAGCAAUGUGUGUCAGAAAUCAGAGAUCAGGCGCCUAAAACAUGGCAUGAAUCUAAACAGAAAAUGAGUAAAAUCUGAACUACAGAGAAUAGGGAGGAUCUGGGUAUUAACUUGAGAUAAAUAAAUUUUAACCAAGAGAUUGGCAAUUACAGAAGAUGUACAAUUUGAGCAAAAAAGAACAAUUUAAUUACUGCAGUUAAUAGUCAACGUUAAGCUGCAGAUGGAUAUAAAGACGAG